Non-coding RNA from Verruconis gallopava, 102 nucleotides. The record is from the annotation of a RefSeq genome assembly. NCBI's taxonomy places the organism in Eukaryota, Fungi, Ascomycota, Dothideomycetes, Venturiales, Sympoventuriaceae.
GGUCUAAUGGUCUAGUGGUAUGAUUCUCGCUUCGGGCACACCGAAGUCCUCGAGCUAAGCUUGAUAUGCGAGAGGCCCCGCGUUCGAAUCGCGGUUAGACCC